UACGAAGGGAGCUAGCGUUGUUCGGACUCACUGGGCGUAAAGCGCACGUAGGCGGAUGUGUCAGUCCGGGGUGAAAUCCCGGAGCUCAACUUCGGAACUGCCUUUGAUACAGCACGUCUUGAGUCCGGAAGAGGUGGGUGGAAUUCCUAGUGUAGAGGUGAAAUUCGUAGAUAUUAGGAAGAACACCGGUGGCGAAGGCGGCCCACUGGUCCGGUACUGACGCUGAGGUGCGAAAGCGUGGGGAGCAAACAGG
This 253-nucleotide ribosomal RNA is filed under the name uncultured bacterium. RNAcentral's name for it is "partial 16S ribosomal RNA". It matches the Rfam family "Bacterial small subunit ribosomal RNA", at positions 524 to 776 of the family's 1533-position model. The record is from RNAcentral.